Molecule: transfer RNA, 69 nt
Filed under: Ursus thibetanus ussuricus (Manchurian black bear)
Lineage: Eukaryota; Metazoa; Chordata; Mammalia; Carnivora; Ursidae
Description: tRNA-His
Rfam family: tRNA
About the family: Transfer RNA (tRNA) molecules are approximately 80 nucleotides in length.
Source: RNAcentral
GUAAAUAUAGUUUAACAAAAACAUUAGAUUGUGAAUCUAAUAAUAAAAGCGCAGGCCUUUUUAUUUACC